Molecule: ribosomal RNA, 253 nt
Filed under: uncultured bacterium
Lineage: Bacteria
Description: partial 16S ribosomal RNA
Rfam family: Bacterial small subunit ribosomal RNA
Source: RNAcentral
UACGAAGGGGGCUAGCGUUGUUCGGAAUUACUGGGCGUAAAGCGCACGUAGGCGGACUCUUAAGUCAGGGGUGAAAUCCCGGGGCUCAACCUCGGAACUGCCUUUGAUACUGUGAGUCUCGAGACCGGAAGAGGUGAGUGGAAUUCCUAGUGUAGAGGUGAAAUUCGUAGAUAUUAGGAAGAACACCAGUGGCGAAGGCGGCUCACUGGUCCGGAUCUGACGCUGAGGUGCGAAAGCGUGGGGAGCAAACAGG